GCGGUCAAGUCAAAAAGUGCAUAGUUUCCAGCCCAUUAAUCAAAUGCCUGGGCAAGUGUCGAAGCAUUGCCUGAGAUAGUUUGGAGUAGGAUAGGUAGGAGGGAAAAUAAAGUGUGAGGAGACAGUAUGUCAGUGAGAGGGGUCUAUCAUGUUAUUGGUUGUUGUAUUCCAGAUAAAUGCCCACUUGCACCUGAAGAAAGACUUGAACCAUGUACCAACUUCUGCCAUUCAGAUAAUCACUGCCCUGGGAUCCUGAAGUGCUGCAAAUGGCGAUGCACAAAUUUCUGCAUGUUCCCUGUAUGAAAUGGACUGAUCUUGAAGGAGGUCUGGAUCCAUGGAGAGCAACCAACGGAGAUACCUGACCAGAGCUCCUCUGUCCAUCUCUCCCUGCUCCCAGGGAAUCUGACUCCUGCUCUGCACCAUCUCCACUUUCCACAUUGACGGUCCCAAUGCUUCUCUGUUAGCACAUCUCCUUCCCUGGAAAAUAAAUGCUCCAACAAGAGUCCUUUUGUUGGCUUGUGGGGAGGUGGUCUUCUUUUCCUGAGGGUCCCAAAGGUCUCCCUCUCCUCCAAGAAGAAAUACAGAUGGAAGUCUUCUCACCAAUGGCCUGGAGGCCCACCCACACCAGUUACCCUGAGAAAUACCUCACUGUCAUUACUUCUAUGGCAUGAAAAAAAUCCCAUAAAUGUGGUAUGGAUGGGGCCACUCUGGGCCCACCUUUCUUAUGAGGGCAUGAAGGGGAUUUUCUUUGCCACUUAAUGAAUCAAGAGUCCAGUUUUAUUUAGAGAGAGAGAAAGGCAUGCCUGCCUCCCACCCUUCAGAACAGACUCCCAAUGGAAUGGGAGGACUGAACCCUAACAUGUGAAUAGCGUUUGCCAAAGAUGAUGUGCUGGGAAAGUUCCAUUAUGGUAUCAACUUGACAGAGCAUUUCAGAGUAAAAAGAUACCGGAAGCAAAGAUUUUAACACCCUUUCUACCGUGUUUCCCUGAAAAUAAGACAGUGUCUUAUAUUAAUUUUUGCUCCCAAAGAUGCUCUAGGUCUUAUUUUCAGGGGAUGUCUUAUUUUUCCAUGAAGAAGAAUUCACAUUUAUUGUUGAACAAAAAAUUGAACAUUUGUUAUAUACUGUACAGUAGUUGUCAUCACAAAUCAGCAUAACCAGACAAACUGUGAAUCCUACCAAGAAUUUCUUAUUGCUACCAAUUUUUCUAUGUACAACACUCUAUGGUACGUACAUUUACGGAUCCUGCAUGCUCUGGUGUUCUGUUCGUUGGGCAUGCUUCCAAACAAAAACUUUGCUAGGUCUUACUUUCGGGGGAGGCCUUAUAUUUAGCAAUUCAGCAAAACCUCUACUAGGUCUUAUUUUCUGGGGAUGUCUUAUUUUCGGGGAAACAGGGUAGGUGACGUUAGUUGUGUACUUAGCAAUAACAAACCAAAAAACAGCUGAAGAAAGGAAGUGUACUCUGUUGCCACCUGGUGUUUAGCUAUAAUAGCUGAAUUCUAAAUGAGAAUUCUGCUUGGUUCAGAAUCAGAUUUAUUUGGAUUAACCCAUAUUUGAGGUGAACUUAGAUUGCGAGGAGCCUGCAGUGGCGCAGUGAGUUAAACCAUUGAGCUGCUGAAUUCGCUGACCCAAAGACGGUGGUUCAAAUUCAGGGAGCAGAGUGAGCUCCCACCGUCAGCUCCAGCUUCUGCCAACCUAGGAGUUCAAAAACAUGUAAAUAUGAGUAGAUCAAUAGGUACCGCUUUGUCGGGAAGAUAACGGCGUUCCAUGCAGUCAUGCCAGCCACAUGACCCUGGGGGUGUCUAUGGACAACGCUGGCUCUUCGGCUGAGAAAUGAAGAUGAGCACCAACCCCCAGAGUUGGACAUAACUAGGCUUAACAUCAGGGAAACCCUACCCUAAGAUUGCUGAAGAACGAAUAAACAGUGGUAAUCAAAGGGAUACAUGUGUUGUCGAAGGCUUCCAUGGCCGGGAUCACAGGGUUGUUGUAUGUUUUCCGAGCUGUCUGGCCAUGUUCUAGAAGUAUUCUCUCCUGACGUUUCGCCCACAUCUAUGGCAGGCAUCCUCAGAGGUUGUGAGGUCUGGAGAAACUAAGCAAGGAAGGUUUAUAUAUAAAUGUGGAAAUAGAUGUGGGCGAAACAUCAGGAGAGAAUACUUCUAGAACAUGGCCAUACAGCCCGGAAAACAUACAACAACCCAACAAAAGAAUACAUACAUCUUUAUCCCCAGCUACACUGCCAUCUAAUCUAGUUUAUAAAUCCAGAUUAUCUGUUUGACUAUUUGAACUGGCCCUUGCUCCCACUUUCCAUCACUUGCAUAGCAACGUAACGCCUGGGAGGCAGUAGCAAUGGAAAGCUACAAGCCCAGCGGUCAAGAUGGAUGGCCCAUUAACAAGGUUGAGUGAUGUGUAAAGGUCAACAGCUCUGGCCAUUCAAUGAUAUAAACACAAGGAAAACGGAAUCUAGGAGGAUAUGUUUCCCUUCCUGUCCGGCUUUUGUAUGAGUAGAACUGGAAUAGAAUGUUCUCUUUUUAAUCUCUAUGAGCCCAAGAGGUUUUUAUUUCCUCAUUGCCUCAGGGUCUGGGAUGUUCUGGGAUUUGAUGCAGAAAUGACAGCCUCCCCCAGAAGGUGAUAUAAAGGAGGUGGGCAGAGCUGGAGUUCGCUCAGUCCUGCUUUGCCAUGAAGUUCUCAACAGGCCUCGCUGUCCUUCUUACUUUCCUUGUCCUCUGUUCUUUGAUGCCUGCCGGGUCUGUUAACCAUCCAGGAAAGUGCCCAACUCCACCUAAAGUAAAAUGUAAAAAAUAUAAUGCAUUCUGCCAUUCAGAUAGUGAUUGCCCUAAGCCCAUGAAGUGCUGUGAAUGGCUAUGUGCAAAAUUCUGCCUACACUGACUGAAAUGGACUGAUCUUGAAGGAGGCCUUGAUCAAUGGAUAGCAACCAACGGAGAUGCCUGACCAGAGCUCCUCUGUCCAUCUCUCCCUGCUUCCAGGGAAUCUGACUCCUGCUCUGCACCAUCUCCACUUUCCACAUUGAUGGUCCCAAUGCUUCUCUGUUAGCACGUCUCCUUCCCUGGAAAAUAAAUGCCACAGCCUCAAGA
Long non-coding RNA from Anolis carolinensis (green anole), 3090 nucleotides. RefSeq lists it as uncharacterized. Lineage: Eukaryota; Metazoa; Chordata; Lepidosauria; Squamata; Anolidae. The record is from RefSeq and is a predicted model, not a curated record. The transcript has 4 exons.